Molecule: ribosomal RNA, 253 nt
Filed under: uncultured bacterium
Lineage: Bacteria
Description: partial 16S ribosomal RNA
Rfam family: Bacterial small subunit ribosomal RNA
Source: RNAcentral
UACGGGGGGGGCAAGCGUUGUUCGGAAUUACUGGGCGUAAAGGGCUCGUAGGUGGCCAACUAAGUCGGACGUGAAAUCCCUCAGCUUAACUGGGGAACUGCGUCCGAUACUGGAUGGCUUGAGUUUGGGAGAGGGAUGCGGAAUUCCAGGUGUAGCGGUGAAAUGCGUAGAUAUCCGGAGGAACACCGGUGGCGAAGGCGGCUUCCUGGACCGACACUGACGCUGAGGCGCGAAAGCUAGGGGAGCAAACGGG